This 722-nucleotide long non-coding RNA is filed under the name Trifolium pratense (red clover). RNAcentral describes it as "long non-coding RNA (TPRA_LNC007220)". The record is from RNAcentral. Lineage: Eukaryota; Viridiplantae; Streptophyta; Magnoliopsida; Fabales; Fabaceae.
ACAAAGCCUAUAGGGUAUUCUGAUGGAACGUAGUGGAAAAUAAAUUGGAUAUUGGUCGUAAGUUGGAAGAGUAAACACUAAACACCAAGUCUUGGGACACUUAGAGGCAUUUGUGUACUUUUUAUCAUACACCAUAUUGUAGUACUUGAUCAUAGUUACUUGGCAACGUUUUUCUUCAUAUAUCUUCUAAAAGCAAACAAAAUUGAUACCAUUUUCAUAUAAGUAAUACCUUCAAGGCCUAUAAAGUAAGUCCAAAAGACAACAUUAUAUGUAUUCAAGUGAGAAAAAUCCAAAAGUAACAAUGCUUUGAUAUGUAAAUAAAAUUAUAGGCUUAGAAUUAAGCAAAUACAAUUAACUAGCUAGCUAGUAUAAUCAUUACUAUCUUUGACGGUAACAUAUUUUAAACAAAGAUGAAAUUUAUUAUUAUUAUUAAUAUAAAAGUGAGUUUUAAUAGUUAUUUUACAAUUGUACAUCUUACACAAAGUAACUUAACUACGUUCCUUGAAGUUACGAUAUCAAUUUCUUAUCACUAAAGUCAUCUUCUAAUAAAUGAGGAUCUCGGAGGAAGACAUUUACAUGUACGACAAACGCAUUUUGGAACAUACGGAGGUAGACAAUAAUAGUAUUGACAAUUAGCAUCCUCUUUGCAAUUUUUCCACAAUGCUGUGAUAUAAAAUUAAGAAACAAAAGUUACUAUAAGGGAUGAAAUAUUUUGUAUAAGA